CGCCGCCCAGUGUCUCCUCCUCCUCCUCCGGGCCUGUCACCAUUUCCACACACAGCAGGGUCUGUGGGGGCGGAGGCUUUUUCCAGACAUGUAUUUAAGUGAGGAGAGAAAACAAGGCGAGUCGCCCAGGAUUUGCCAAGUCAGUAGGCAGGAACACAACUCGAGAGGCCAAAAAUAAGACGGCGGCGAGGGUCACCCUGCUCUUCUGAGCCGGGCGCUGGUGACGGCCCGUGCUGAGCAUUCCACAAUCACACUUCUGUCUGAGGGUGCCCCUUCAUCCCGGGGCAUCGGCCUCCUGGUCAGAAGGUGGCAGAGCCCUGACUGUGGGCAGUGAGCAAUGGUGACUCAGGAAAAUUCGAAAGGACACAGGGAACACCCCCAAAGUCAUCUGGGGACAGGCCCUGGUUCCCCCUGCCGGUCAGGGAGCCAGGAGUUCUGGUCUCCCAUUGUAAAGGAGGAAUUUCUGAAGUUCUCUCUGGAACUUUGGCAGAAUUCUGUGGGAUCUUUCAGAGGAAGCAUUACGCUUUGGGUGUUUUUCUGGAGGGGAAAUUACUAAGAUUUCUUUCACCUUUAUAGCUAUUUGUGAAUUAGCUCCUUUUCCCUUUUAGCUCCAGAUUAUAUUUGUCUCUUUAUUCUGAUGCAGCAUCUGUUACCUUGUAUGACGAACAGUACUCCCGAAAGCAAGUAAUGACAGUAAUAAUAGCUAACAUUUAUUCAGCCCUUAUGGCACACCAGGUACUGGUCUCUCUGUGUGAUUUUUGUGGUUCAUCAAAUCUGAGGCUCCAUCAGUCUUCAGAUAUGCCAUGUAUGAUGUACCACUAAAGAAUACUGCCAAUUAAUCCACGACAUGCCAUUGAUUUUAAGAUUCACUUGACGCUCAGAAAUGUUAAAACGGGAACGUUAGAAUCAAUGAAAUGCAGUAACCGAUUCUCAGUUGUCAUCCUUGCCUUACAGCCUUACCGAGGAACAGAGAAGUUGGGUAAACCUGCCUGAUGCCACAGAGCGACUAUGUGGUGGAAAUGGGAUAUGAACCCAGGUUCAGGCUUCAAAACCUGGGCUCCUAACUGCCACGCUGUAUUGUGGCUGAGAAGUGGUUUCUGUCUAUCCACCCGCGGGACAGAAGGCGGGACACAAAACACAAGAGGGAGAGCUGGACCCCACCCUCUGCUCCCUCUUCCUCAUUGCCCCCAGGGCCAGUGUUGAUGCCCCGUCUAAAAACUGCUCCUCCUCUCACUCCCAGCAGCUGGCACCCUGGUUCUGUCCUUCCUUGCCUCCCUCUUGCCCCUGCUUGGACUGCUGCAGUAGCCUCUUAGCUGUCACCCUCCUCCGAUCUUUCCCCCACACCUCCACACACACAGACACACACACUGAGACAGUCAUCUUCUUAAAAUGUGAAUCUGGUCUUGUCGCUGUUCCAAAACCUUGAAGAGAUCCAAAUCCUAACAAGCGAUUUCUCACUCGUUUAGCUGUUUCAGCACCUACUCUGUGCCCAGCUCAGAGGAUGGAAAGGUGAGCAACCCCCAGCGUGGUCCGCAGCCAUGGUCUCACGGAGAAGCGAGACUCCUCAGUGGGCAGGUUCACAGAAAACCAGACAGAACAAAAUGGGCAAAGAGGACCGUCCUCACAGAGGCCUCUCUUCGGCAGGAAGGCAGACGGUCAGAUACGCCAAGCCCACAGUUGCUAUCCCUGGCUGGGUGAUGAUCAAGAGACCAGGCAGUAACCAGGCGAUGUAGCAGCAGUCCUCGGACGUGUCUGCGAAGGGGAGAGGUGCACCCCCGCCCCAGUCUCCAGAGAGAAGCCUGUGUCCACUCUAGAAAUGAAGCAAACAACAGCCACUGUUAAGGCAGGCAGCCCUAUGUGCCCAGAAGAUGCCCAUUUUCCACUCACCAGGCUGCCCAGACAGCUCAGAGGGUGAGAGGUCUUCUACAACAUAGCUCCCUGUGCCCCCCCAGCUCCCCCUACUAGAGGGUCGGUGCCUCUCUGCACAGAUGGUAACUGGAUGGCUGCAUCGUGCCGGGUGGAAACGCAUUUACAGUAUGGGACGCUGGUGCUCUGACACAAGCAGGGGUCUAGGGUAGAGAGCCCGAGGGCAGCCGGAAGGGGACCCCGGGGCGGCUGAGGGGAGGGGAGCAGCGUGAGGACUCCCCAGAGAGGAGGUGGCAGGUGGAGCUGAAGAGAAAAGCUUGGCGGCUUCCCAAUUCAGCUGGGCCACAGCUUUGUCAAUGGCCAGCUCUCUACCCGCCGGGCCCCUGGCCUGGCCCCGGGCCUGCGGUUUUCCUCAGUAGAACAGCGGGCGGCAGCUUCCGAGAAACCCCACCAAGACUUUCCUGUCAGGGCAACUCCAAGUUCCUCUUCAGGAAGGGGAAGUGGGGGAGUUUCUCCUAAGGGCUUUCAGUUUCUUUCUAAGAAGCCGGAGUGUCCCAACCCCGCAGUGCAGAGCCAGGUGUUAAGGGAAGAGACGUCCCACGGCAGGGGCUUUCCUAUCUCGGGUUCACAGGUGGACAUUCCAAAAGAGGAAAACUGGACCCGAGUUUUGCAGGCCCUUUCCCAUGCCCCUCUCCUUUCUUCCCCCUCCGGUCACACGUCCCCUGCGCCCCUCCCUGCCCCCACCAACACGUGCAGUGCAUGCACAGAAUGUGGCCUGCCCUCCCUCGGGGACCUGCCAGGUGGAAAUUUAUUUCCUCAGCCCUCCCAGCCGACGUCCUGGGAGCUCAGCUUCCUCGGGGCUCUGCUGGGCGACUCAACAUCUGACCCAGAUCAAGACCCAACAGGUGACUCCAGCUUCUUGCCGAUGCUGGGCCACGGAAGACCUCCAAACUUCUUUGAGGACACACUGUGGGAGCCCCAAGAACUGAGAGCCUGCCUUUUUUUUAAGAAGGCUUGGCUUGGUGGCAAAGCAGAAGUCCUGAUGUGAUUAUAAACAAGAGCCACCAUGGAGGCUAAGCACUUACCGUGUGCUAGCAUUUUACAUGAAUAUCCUCCUGUAACCCACCCCCCCAACCGAGGGGGCAAUCCCAUGACAAAGACACCAUUGUUACUCCUGAAGUCAAGCAACCUGCCCAUUCACCCAGCCCGCAAGCCUGUUCUUCCCAGUAGACUGCUUCUCAGAAAGGCGGGGAAGAAAGACUAUCAGGCCCUCAAAGGAGCUGGCUGGGAAGGUGUGAUCUCCAAUAUCGCCGAUCCUCAAAGCAAGCUCUGAGUGGUGAAGAGCCAGCGAUCUAGUUACCGCCGGCUUUGCAGCACGGCCACGGCUGGGGGUCUCCCCAGGACAUCCACACUCCUGUCGCCUCUUCUGUUCUCCUCUUACAGGCAUCGUGUUAGGGUUUCUGCUUUGCCAACACAUGCGUUAUGGGGACAGUGUGGGGAUUUCCCCAAACCAUGACGCUGUUCUGCUCAAAAACAUUUGCCUAGAAGUCCACAACUGUGUGACUCACGCUGUUGAGGUGUCAAGAAAACUCACAGCUGCAGGGUGGAGGGGCCGGACCCACACGGAAGGGGGCACUCGGAGGGUGAGCAGUUCGGUACAUAAAAAUACAGGACACCCAGUUACAUUUGAGUUUCAGAUCAACUACAACAUUUGGGAUACCCUGAUACUAAAAAAAAAAA
Molecule: long non-coding RNA, 3606 nt
Organism: Bos taurus (domestic cattle)
Lineage: Eukaryota; Metazoa; Chordata; Mammalia; Artiodactyla; Bovidae
Source: Ensembl